UUUUAAAAAAUUAACAUCAAAUUUCUAGUUAAAGCCAUCAAAUUUUGUAAUCUAUCAACCAUGUAUAUGGUAAGUGCAUAGUAUAUCGGUUUAAAAAGUACAUAAAUAAAAAAUUUUACGUCAUUACAAUAUAACUAACAUUAAAACCUGGAAAUUAACUUGUGGAAAGCACUAAAAUUUCACGUCAUCCUGUAAAGUACAAAAUAAAUAGUUUUUAAGGAGAAUAUAUAUAAUGACUGAGAUCAAGGCUGUCUCAAUAAGAUAUGAUGGUUAAAGAAAAUAUAAUUUUUUGGCCUAUUAAAAGAAAGUUGAAAAAACUGCAAAGAAUUGUACUGUUGGAGACCCAAAAUCGUAAUACUUUAUGAAGAAAAAUAAGAAUUAACCAUUCUACCACUAGAGUUUUUAGUAAAUUGAUGCUCCUAGUUUUUAAUACUAAUUUGAUGCCUAAAGCCCUUACUUCACGGACUUUAACUCCUGGUCGGGCCAGACUGAGAUCAAAUGAAGAGGACUAAAGGAAGAAGAACAUAAAUGAAUAGAGAAAAAAUGAGAAGAAAGCUGAAAUCUCAUGAACUUGUGGAAAGAUUCUUUUUAGACCACUUUAAUUCAAUUUAUUUACCUAUUAAGAAUAUCAUUUUUUCAUAUCACCUACUUUACUUUGGCUCCGACUAGAGAAAGUGGAUUUAGCAGUCUAAGCGGAUCAAGUAGAUAAAGUGAGGAUCAAGCGGUUUUGGUGGAAAGAGUGCGGAUCAAGCGGUUAUGGCAGGUCUAAAAUGUGUGUGAAUGGUGAAAGAGGAUAAAAAAAACGCAUAUCAAUAUGAGGUGAAUGCAUUUCACGAAAUACCAUUGUCCUUCAGCAAAAACUCUAUGGAUGUUAAUAUCAUAAAUGUAAGAAGCUAUGCAUCAAUCACUAUUUCCUAAAAAAUUACAUAAACAACAUUAGUUUCAUCUCUUAUAGUCUUCAUAUAUUAGAUUCAACAAAGAUAAGAAGUUUCAUCUUACCAUUUCAUCGCAUAGAAUCAUGUAGUAUCUUCUUAUUCUUUCAUGAGAGAGUGAACGUCAAAGAACUUCCACUUUUUUGUUUUUGGAGAAAUUUGAGAGAUUUAUGAGAUUUCUUUGUACAAACUUCCUCUAUCGUCUUUUGCCAUGUUUAUGCUUUUCUCCAAUUAAUAGUGUAGAAGAGAGCUGUACAAGGUUGAAGAUAGUAAUGUAUAUAAAGUAAAUAUUGGAUACAUAUGUGAAAGUGUAUAUUUUUGAUUAUUUAGUGUAUAUUUGUUUUACAUCUAAAUUAAAAAUUGAAACACGAUUUCUAAGAUAUGCAAAUCUUGUCAAGAUUUGUUUUGGAUUCUCAAUAAAAAUGUAUAAAGCUUUAUAUGGUUACUUUCAAAAAGAAUUAGUAAAAACUA
RNAcentral lists this small RNA (1403 nucleotides) under Arabidopsis thaliana (thale cress). RNAcentral's name for it is "ATSL158070". Lineage: Eukaryota; Viridiplantae; Streptophyta; Magnoliopsida; Brassicales; Brassicaceae. The record is from RNAcentral.